UGAUGGCAGUGAUGAUUCCUAGAUUGUUGCGUUCCUGAUGUUCAGACGUGAGGGUGCACAGUCACUACCUCAUCUGAGCCAUCU
Corvus moneduloides (New Caledonian crow) is the source of this 84-nucleotide small nucleolar RNA. NCBI's taxonomy places the organism in Eukaryota, Metazoa, Chordata, Aves, Passeriformes, Corvidae. The record is from Ensembl.